UGGCUAUGAUGAAACCAUGCGCUUCCUGUGAUGGAUGGGUCCACACUUACAUCUGGUUUCAAGAUGAAAAUAUGCGCAUCUGAGCUU
Molecule: small nucleolar RNA, 87 nt
Organism: Cornus florida
Lineage: Eukaryota; Viridiplantae; Streptophyta; Magnoliopsida; Cornales; Cornaceae
Product: small nucleolar RNA snoR114
Exons: 1
Source: RefSeq, a predicted model, not a curated record